UCAGGGUUGGUCAGGGCCUUUUGGCCACGCAGAACGCACUUCUCUCUCCUCUCAGUUUGGAAAAGCAAAUCAUGGCACUGCUCGCUAGCUGCUAAAUGAUGCAGCGACACCGCUUCGGGGAGGAGAUACAAUUCUGCCGAAUGCAUUUGAAUUCACACAGCAUCUCUUCUCCAUUUGUAAGACAACGCAGGUCGGCCCUCUCGCUCGCAAAGGCAGUGAGGAUAUCAAGAGUGGGCUCGAUGGCGACUGGAAGCUACUGAUCCUGUUAAACGGAUAACUGGACGCUGGUAUGGCAGAUUCUGCAUGGUCCGUGACAGUUAAUGCAACUGGACAAAGACAUACGAAACAGAAUGAAAACAAAUAGUUGCAUUUUCUGGGAGAUUGUAUUUUCUAAUGCAUUGCAUUAGUGCAUUGCAGAGUGUGCUAGCAUUAUUACUUCUUUCUAUUAUCAACAGCUCUGACAUUCCUCUCAGCUCUGCAAAGGCUUUUUGACUUCCUGUCCAUCACCAAAUGACUUAUAAUACGGGGGGCUAAAGAGACAGAAAUUUUCCUAAAAGGAAAUGGAAAUGGAGAAAAAAUAUUCGACAACAUCUACGUCACUUCUCCACAUUCCAAACAAAGUAACUUUGUUCACGACAUCCUGCCUGGUUGAGAGACUAUUGCAGUUACAAAAUCUAUCUGCGGAUAUAACACCUUCGGCGCCAUGCUGACACACACACACACACACACACACACACACAGGCUCGCUUCAACGUCUGCGGAUAUGAUUUGAAGUUAAGUAGUACUGUCCUGAGGAAACAAAACUUGAGCCAUACAACUUCAGUGAAGGUCAGCGUAGUCUCUGAGAGAGAGAGUGGGGGAAAAGAUUUUCCACUGCACAGACAAACACACGCGCACCUGCAAAACAAGCUGCUGGAAGACGUUUGGAAGGAAGCCCAGUGCAAACUGAGUCCGCUUUAGGUCGGACAGCCUCAGUGCCUCUUUGCACACAAGGGCACAAACUCUUGUGUCAUAUUAAGCAUGUACAUAUUAAGUACAAACAUCAUUUUUUAAAUUAAAUAUUAAAUUGACAAUAAUGAACAGCUGGCUGACACUCUAGUGGCAAGUGGGAAAUGACGUGUUAAUUAUGUUUUUAAUUCAUUAAUCACAUGUUUUCUCAAGCUGUGGAAGUGAAUGUUGUUUUCCAGAAGCCUCAGCACUGAACUGCAAAGUGAAGUGCAAAUGCUUUCUUGGCUGCUUCAGUUGCUCAGACGUUCAAUGUCAGGCUGACUGAGCCAAAACAGGAUGGAAAAGCAUUUGCUGAGCGAUUUCUCCCACAGCUGAUCCAAGAGGGGAGUUAAGAUUCACAUUUCCAAAUGCCAAGAAGUGCGGUCGACGUCGGCGCGGUGAAUACCCCAAUUAUUAAUGUUGAAUCCUCCCUGCUAGGCUACAGUGCCUGUCGAGGAAUAAUCAGAUUUGGCAGACGGAAGACCACGGGGGAGGCAUUGAAACCAAAUGAGAUUUCUCAAAGGGAUCGCUUUACAGUACAGAUGCUGCGGGGUCGUGACACCCACUCUGGAUUACCCACAGUGACGGGUGUUUUGUCUGUCUGUCACUUCAUAUGUCCUGCCGAAUGAGACUCUCCGGCAUCGGCGGCAACUAGAAGGAAGGAUCUUGAUUCUAGGGGGGUGAAAUGGUGUAAGGGGGGUUGCCAUAGCAACUGCUCAUGCCCCCGUCUGCAAUCUGAUCUUGUUUAUCGAGUUCCUCUUCUUGUCAGGGCAGCUGCAUAGAGACAACCCCCGUUGUACAAAGGAACAGCGUCGGAUCGGCAUAGGAAUUGAUCACAAAGGCAAAGAAAAAUGCAACGUCUGAAAGAUCCCCGAGAAACUCCAGCCACAGUGUUAAUAAGUGCAGAGCGGGUAAUGAUCUUGUACCAUUAACCUCCCUGGCCUGAGACACCUCAUUUCCCUUUACCUCAGGCUGAAGUCAACCUUUUUGUCAACAGCUCUGAGAUCAAUUGAAAUAAUAAGUGUGCCAUUAGAAAAUCCAUACCAUGUCGGGCCCCAUUGAUAACAUACGUAUGUGUGUCUGUAUAUUUGAUAUGUAAUAAAACAGUCUGCAUGACAGUA
Molecule: non-coding RNA, 2108 nt
Organism: Gasterosteus aculeatus aculeatus (three-spined stickleback)
Lineage: Eukaryota; Metazoa; Chordata; Actinopteri; Perciformes; Gasterosteidae
Source: RefSeq, a predicted model, not a curated record